RNAcentral lists this ribosomal RNA (470 nucleotides) under Micromonospora sp. Its description in RNAcentral is "bacterial SSU rRNA". It matches the Rfam family "Bacterial small subunit ribosomal RNA", at positions 111 to 596 of the family's 1533-position model. The record is from RNAcentral. Lineage: Bacteria; Bacillati; Actinomycetota; Actinomycetes; Micromonosporales; Micromonosporaceae.
UAACACGUGAGCAACCUGCCCUAGGCUUUGGGAUAACCCCGGGAAACCGGGGCUAAUACCGAAUAUUACCACCGGGCGCAUGUUUGGUGGUGGAAAGUUUUUCGGCCUGGGAUGGGCUCGCGGCCUAUCAGCUUGUUGGUGGGGUGAUGGCCUACCAAGGCGACGACGGGUAGCCGGCCUGAGAGGGCGACCGGCCACACUGGGACUGAGACACGGCCCAGACUCCUACGGGAGGCAGCAGUGGGGAAUAUUGCACAAUGGGCGGAAGCCUGAUGCAGCGACGCCGCGUGAGGGAUGACGGCCUUCGGGUUGUAAACCUCUUUCAGCAGGGACGAAGCGAAAGUGACGGUACCUGCAGAAGAAGCGCCGGCCAACUACGUGCCAGCAGCCGCGGUAAGACGUAGGGCGCGAGCGUUGUCCGGAUUUAUUGGGCGUAAAGAGCUCGUAGGCGGCUUGUCGCGUCGACUGUG